Molecule: ribosomal RNA, 492 nt
Filed under: uncultured bacterium
Lineage: Bacteria
Description: partial 16S ribosomal RNA
Rfam family: Bacterial small subunit ribosomal RNA
Source: RNAcentral
AGUGAACGCUGGCGGUAGACCUAACACAUGCAAGUCGAACGGCAGCACAGUAAGAGCUUGCUCUUACGGGUGGCGAGUGGCGGACGGGUGAGGAAUACAUCGGAAUCUACUUUUUCGUGGGGGAUAACGUAGGGAAACUUACGCUAAUACCGCAUACGACCUACGGGUGAGAGCAGGGGAUCUUCGGACCUUGCGCGAUUGAAUGAGCCGAUGUCGGAUUAGCUAGUUGGCGGGGUAAAGGCCCACCAAGGCGACGAUCCGUAGCUGGUCUGAGAGGAUGAUCAGCCACACUGGAACUGAGACACGGUCCAGACUCCGACGGGAGGCAGCAGUGGGGAAUAUUGGACAAAGGGCGCAAGCCUGAUCCAGCCAUACCGCGUGGGUGAAGAAGGCCUUCGGGUUGUAAAGCCCUUUUGUUGGGAAAGAAAAGCAGCAGGUUAAUACCCCGCUGUUCUGACGGUACCCAAAGAAUAAGCACCGGCUAACUUCGUG